Molecule: ribosomal RNA, 275 nt
Filed under: uncultured bacterium
Lineage: Bacteria
Description: partial 16S ribosomal RNA
Rfam family: Bacterial small subunit ribosomal RNA
Source: RNAcentral
CUAAGUUUGAUGGCGACCGGCGCACGGGUGAGUAACACGUAUCCAACCUGCCGAUGACUCGGGGAUAGCCUUUCGAAAGAAAGAUUAAUACCCGAUGGCAUAGUUCUUCCGCAUGGUAGAACUAUUAAAGAAUUUCGGUUAUCGAUGGGGAUGCGUUCCAUUAGGCAGUUGGUGGGGUAAUGGCCCACCAAACCUUCGAUGGAUAGGGGUUCUGAGAGGAAGGUCCCCCACAUUGGAACUGAGACACGGUCCAAACUCCUACGGGAGGCAGCAUG